CACAGCACUUCAGAAAAGAGUGGGACUGGACAAGCGUAUCUAAGAGGCCGAACAUGAAUCCACAGAUCAGCUCUGUUUCUGCCUGGUCAUCCUGAGCCCCUCCUGCCCUCAGGGCCAUUCCACUGUGCUCCCCUGCCUCACCGCCUCCUCCCCGCUCUCCCAGGCUCUUCCUUCAGAGGCCCCUUUCUGCCUCCAUGGCUACCCAUCCACCCCCUCAGACCCCAUUCCUCCAGCCUGCGUGCCCCUGACCUGGCUCUUCCCAUCUCCCCAGCAUAACCAAAUCUUACUAAACUCAACCUAGGCUGGGCAUGGUGACUCACGCCUGUAAUCCCCCAGCACUUUAGGAGGCAAAGGUGGGAGAAUCGCUUGAGCCCAGGAGUCCAAGACCAGCCUGGGUCACAUGACAAAGCCCCAUCUCUACCAAAAAAAAAAAAAAAAAAAAAGCUAAAUGUGGUGGCAUGCACCUGUAGUCCAAGUUACUUGGAAGGCUGAAGUGUGAGGAUUACUUGAGCCCUGGAGGUGGAGGCUGGAGUGAACAGAGAUCGCACCACUGAACUCCGGUCUGGGCAGAGUAGAUCGAGACCCUGCCUGAAAAUAAAUCAAUAAAUAAACUCAACCUAAAUGGGUGUGAAUAUAUGUAAAUUGAAUACCAGAAGUUUUGAGAAACAUCCUUUGUAAAUUUCAUCCUACGAAUUGGGUCAUUCAUGUCCUGCCCAGCUAAAACAGAGGCCAGGAGCCAGGGAGGAAAAGCAGUCAGGCCACACACCACUGCUCCCGAAAUGGACUUCUCUGCAAGCCUGACUCCUAAAACUGUGCGUUGUACCCUGAAACCAGCUUUAUCCAUAGCUUCUGCGAUAAAUGGCUGUAAGUCUUGGACUCCUUGCUCCAAAAGCAGCAACUCAGCAAUGGAACCUCCCAGCUCCCAACCCUUCCUAGUGCCCACGGGCUUUCCCAAAGGGCAAGAGAACAUUUCUCCUCCUAUAAUUGCCAUCUCUUUGUUCUCCCGACAUGGUGAACACCAUCCGGACUGCGUGUAUGUCCCAAAUUACAAUUCUUUCUUUGCUAAUGAAAUAUGAAAUUUAGAGGCUCUUCUCCACACUUUAAAUUUGACUUGACAUUUUCAAGGCAGAUGUAAGUUAUUAGAGAAUGAGACUCUAUAAAAAUGACCCCUUCAUGCCGUGGCCUCCAUAGAAGAUGCCCCGGGCCAGGUGUCCACACGGCGGGCAUUUAUUUUCUCGAAGAUCUGGAGGCUGCAGGUCCAAGUUCGAGGGUUGGGUGGAGUUGUUUUCUCUGAGGUCAAUUCUCCUGGCUGGCAGGGAGUCGCUUCCAGCCGUGUCCUCUGUGGCUUUUCCUCUAUGCACCUGCACCUCUGGGGUCUCUCUGCCUCCAAAUAUCAAAUAUCAACCUUUUUUUUUUUUUUUUCUUUGAGACAGAGUUUUGCUCUUGUUGCCCAGGCUGGAGCGCAAUGGCACGAUCUCGGCUCACUGCAACCUCUGCCUCCCGAGUUCAAGCGAUUCUUCUGCUUCAGCCUCCCAAGUACCUGGGACUAAAGGCAUGCGUCACCACACCUGAUUAAUUUUGUAGUUUUAGUAGAGAAGGGAUCUCACCAUGUUGGCCAUGCUUGCUCUCGAACUCCUGACCGCAGGUGAUCUGCCUGUCUUGGCCUCCCCAAGUGCUGGGAUUACAGGUGUGAGCCACUGUGCCUGCCUGGGAUCAUAUGUUACAUGCAUAUUUGUUUGAUAAGCCUGGACUGCAACCACCUACAUGAAUAUUCAUAGCUCCUCCUGUAGCCUGUUGAAUAUGUAUGUUUAGCCAACCUCUUCAGCAUAAAGCUCCUGCCCCAACCCCUCCUGCUUCUAAAUGUCUGUAUCUGGUGUUUCCCAGAGGCUGCUUUUCCCAGGCUGUAGGAUGGCCACCUGCAGGCUAUCACCCUUAUCAAGAAAUAAAGUGUUCUUUGUAAAU
This 1962-nucleotide long non-coding RNA is filed under the name Macaca mulatta (Rhesus monkey). Its description in RNAcentral is "lncRNA (ENSMMUG00000063549.1)". The record is from RNAcentral. Lineage: Eukaryota; Metazoa; Chordata; Mammalia; Primates; Cercopithecidae.